GCCAAGGUGGUGGAACUGGUAGACACGACGGAUUCAAAAUCCGUUGCCCGUGAGGGCUUGAGGGUUCGAGUCCCUCCCUUGGUACCA
RNAcentral lists this transfer RNA (87 nucleotides) under Litorivicinaceae bacterium. RNAcentral describes it as "tRNA-Leu". It matches the Rfam family "tRNA". Rfam says of the family: Transfer RNA (tRNA) molecules are approximately 80 nucleotides in length. Their secondary structure includes four short double-helical elements and three loops (D, anti-codon, and T loops). Further hydrogen bonds mediate the characteristic L-shaped molecular structure. tRNAs have two regions of fundamental functional importance: the anti-codon, which is responsible for specific mRNA codon recognition, and the 3' end, to which the tRNAs corresponding amino acid is attached (by aminoacyl-tRNA synthetases). tRNAs cope with the degeneracy of the genetic code in two manners: having more than one tRNA (with a specific anti-codon) for a particular amino acid; and 'wobble' base-pairing, i.e. permitting non-standard base-pairing at the 3rd anti-codon position. The record is from RNAcentral. Lineage: Bacteria; Pseudomonadati; Pseudomonadota; Gammaproteobacteria; Oceanospirillales; Litorivicinaceae.